This 1471-nucleotide ribosomal RNA is filed under the name uncultured bacterium. Its description in RNAcentral is "partial 16S ribosomal RNA". It matches the Rfam family "Bacterial small subunit ribosomal RNA". The record is from RNAcentral.
AGAGUUUGAUCCUGGCUCAGAGCGAACGCUGGCGGCAGGCCUAAUACAUGCAAGUCGAACGGUCCUUCGGGACAGUGGCGGACGGGUGAGUAACGCGUGGGAACGUGCCCUUUGGUACGGAACAACUGAGGGAAACUUCAGCUAAUACCGUAUGUGCCCUUCGGGGGAAAGAUUUAUCGCCAUUGGAGCGGCCCGCGUUAGAUUAGCUAGUUGGUGGGGUAAAGGCCUACCAAGGCAACGAUCUAUAGCUGGUCUGAGAGGAUGAUCAGCCACACUGGGACUGAGACACGGCCCAGACUCCUACGGGAGGCAGCAGUAGGGAAUCUUGCGCAAUGGGCGAAAGCCUGACGCAGCCAUGCCGCGUGAAUGAUGAAGGUCUUAGGAUUGUAAAAUUCUUUCGGCCGGGAAGAAAUCGCGUGGGUUAAUACCCUGCGUGGAUGACGGUACCGGAAUAAGAAGCACCGGCUAACUACGUGCCAGCAGCCGCGGUAAUACGUAGGGUGCGAGCGUUAAUCGGAAUUACUGGGCGUAAAGCGUGCGCAGGCGGUUUUGUAAGACAGGCGUGAAAUCCCCGGGCUCAACCUGGGAACUGCGCUUGUGACUGCAAGGCUAGAGUACGGCAGAGGGGGGUGGAAUUCCACGUGUAGCAGUGAAAUGCGUAGAGAUGUGGAGGAACACCAAUGGCGAAGGCAGCCCCCUGGGUCGAUACUGACGCUCAUGCACGAAAGCGUGGGUAGCAAACAGGAUUAGAUACCCUGGUAGUCCACGCCCUAAACGAUGGGUACUAGGUGUUGCGGGUCUUCACUGACUCAGUAACGAAGCUAACGCGUGAAGUUGACCGCCUGGGGAGUACGGCCGCAAGGUUAAAACUCAAAGGAAUUGACGGGGACCCGCACAAGCGGUGGAUGAUGUGGUUUAAUUCGAUGCAACGCGAAAAACCUUACCCACCUUUGACAUGUACGGAAGAUCGCAGAGACGCGAUUGUGCUCGAAAGAGAACCGUAACACAGGUGCUGCAUGGCUGUCGUCAGCUCGUGUCGUGAGAUGUUGGGUUAAGUCCCGCAACGAGCGCAACCCUUGCCAUUAGUUGCUACAUUCAGUUGGGCACUCUAAUGGGACUGCCGGUGACAAACCGGAGGAAGGUGGGGAUGACGUCAAGUCCUCAUGGCCCUUAUAGGUGGGGCUACACACGUCAUACAAUGGCUGGUACAAAGGGUUGCCAACCCGCGAGGGGGAGCCAAUCCAUCAAAGCCGGUCGUAGUCCGGAUCGCAGUCUGCAACUCGACUGCGUGAAGUCGGAAUCGCUAGUAAUCGUGGAUCAGCAUGUCACGGUGAAUACGUUCCCGGGUCUUGUACAAACCGCCCGUCACACCAUGGGAGCGGGUCUCGCCAGAAGUAGUUAGCCUAACCGCAAGGAGGGCGAUUACCACGGCGGGGUUCGUGACUGGGGUGAAGUCGUAACAAGGGUAACC